Molecule: ribosomal RNA, 1046 nt
Filed under: Salmonella enterica subsp. enterica serovar Agbeni
Lineage: Bacteria; Pseudomonadati; Pseudomonadota; Gammaproteobacteria; Enterobacterales; Enterobacteriaceae
Description: bacterial SSU rRNA
Rfam family: Bacterial small subunit ribosomal RNA
Source: RNAcentral
AAAUUGAAGAGUUUGAUCAUGGCUCAGAUUGAACGCUGGCGGCAGGCCUAACACAUGCAAGUCGAACGGUAACAGGAAGCAGCUUGCUGCUUCGCUGACGAGUGGCGGACGGGUGAGUAAUGUCUGGGAAACUGCCUGAUGGAGGGGGAUAACUACUGGAAACGGUGGCUAAUACCGCAUAACGUCGCAAGACCAAAGAGGGGGACCUUCGGGCCUCUUGCCAUCAGAUGUGCCCAGAUGGGAUUAGCUUGUUGGUGAGGUAACGGCUCACCAAGGCGACGAUCCCUAGCUGGUCUGAGAGGAUGACCAGCCACACUGGAACUGAGACACGGUCCAGACUCCUACGGGAGGCAGCAGUGGGGAAUAUUGCACAAUGGGCGCAAGCCUGAUGCAGCCAUGCCGCGUGUAUGAAGAAGGCCUUCGGGUUGUAAAGUACUUUCAGCGGGGAGGAAGGUGUUGUGGUUAAUAACCGCAGCAAUUGACGUUACCCGCAGAAGAAGCACCGGCUAACUCCGUGCCAGCAGCCGCGGUAAUACGGAGGGUGCAAGCGUUAAUCGGAAUUACUGGGCGUAAAGCGCACGCAGGCGGUCUGUCAAGUCGGAUGUGAAAUCCCCGGGCUCAACCUGGGAACUGCAUUCGAAACUGGCAGGCUUGAGUCUUGUAGAGGGGGGUAGAAUUCCAGGUGUAGCGGUGAAAUGCGUAGAGAUCUGGAGGAAUACCGGUGGCGAAGGCGGCCCCCUGGACAAAGACUGACGCUCAGGUGCGAAAGCGUGGGGAGCAAACAGGAUUAGAUACCCUGGUAGUCCACGCCGUAAACGAUGUCUACUUGGAGGUUGUGCCCUUGAGGCGUGGCUUCCGGAGCUAACGCGUUAAGUAGACCGCCUGGGGAGUACGGCCGCAAGGUUAAAACUCAAAUGAAUUGACGGGGGCCCGCACAAGCGGUGGAGCAUGUGGUUUAAUUCGAUGCAACGCGAAGAACCUUACCUGGUCUUGACAUCCACGGAAGUUUUCAGAGAUGAGAAUGUGCCUUCGGGAACCGUGAGACA